UUCCUGGAUCUAGAAGGAUGACGAACGCUGGCGGCGUGCCUAACACAUGCAAGUCUAACGAGUCCAGACUUCGGUCUGAGGCGAGUGGCGGACGGGUGAGUAACACGUGAGCAAUCUAUCCCUGUGCGGGGGACAACCCGGGGAAACCCGGGCUAAUACCGCAUGGUCGGUUCCCAGGAUCUGGGGAUCGGGAAAGGUGGCCUCUUUACAAUGCUGCCGUGCAGGGAGGAGCUCGCGGGCUAUCAGCUAGCUGGUGCGGUAAUGGCGCACCAGGGCGACGACGGCUACGGGGUCUGAGAGGACGACCCCGCACAUUGGAACUGAGACACGGUCCAGACUCCUACGGGAGGCAGCAGUGGGGAAUUUUGGGCAAUGGCCGAAAGGCUGACCCAGCGACGCCGCGUGUGGGAGGAAGCCCUUCGGGGUGUAAACCACUGUCGGGAGGGACGAACGAGGAGGGCGGGAAUACUGCUCUUCUGUGACGGUACCUUCAAAGGGAGCGCCGGCUAACUCUGUGCCAGCAGCCGCGGUAAGACAGAGGGCGCGAGCGUUGUUCGGAAUUACUGGGCGUAAAGCGCGCGUAGGCGGAUCUGCAUGUCCGUAAGUGAAAUCCCGCCGCUCAACGGCGGGGCUGCUUGGGAAACGGCAGGUCUGGGGACCGGUAGAGGUCGGUAGAAUUCCCGGUGUAGCGGUGGAAUGCGUAGAGAUCGGGAAGAAUACCCGUGGCGAAGGCGGCCGACUGGGCCGGAUCCGACGCUGAUGCGCGAAAGCGUGGGGAGCAAACAGGAUUAGAUACCCUGGUAGUCCACGCCGUAAACGAUGGGCACUAGGUGCCGGGGGGGAGCGCCCCCUUCGGUGCC
This 860-nucleotide ribosomal RNA is filed under the name uncultured bacterium. Its description in RNAcentral is "bacterial SSU rRNA". It matches the Rfam family "Bacterial small subunit ribosomal RNA", at positions 1 to 847 of the family's 1533-position model. The record is from RNAcentral.